RNAcentral lists this ribosomal RNA (685 nucleotides) under uncultured Bacillota bacterium. Its description in RNAcentral is "bacterial SSU rRNA". It matches the Rfam family "Bacterial small subunit ribosomal RNA", at positions 80 to 748 of the family's 1533-position model. The record is from RNAcentral. Lineage: Bacteria; Bacillati; Bacillota.
CUUCGGAUGAGUAAAGCGGCGGACGGGUGAGUAAUACGUAGGUAAUCUACCUUUUUGUGUGGAAUAACUAAGGGAAACUUUAGCUAAUACCGCAUGUAGUUUCAGAUCGUGUGAUUUGAAAAAAAAGGGGGGUCGUAAGAUCUCUCGCAAAAAGAUGAGCCUGCGCACGAUUAGCUAGUUGGUGAGGUAAUGGCUCACCAAGGCGACGAUCGUUAGCAGAUCUGAGAGGAUGAUCUGCCACACUGGAACUGACACACGGUCCAGACUCCUACGGGAGGCAGCAGUGGGGAAUAUUGCACAAUGGGGGAAACCCUGAUGCAGCGACGCCGCGUGGGUGAUGAAGGCCUUCGGGUUGUAAAGCCCUGUCGGCUGGGAACAAGGUAGUCGUGCUCAUACCACGAUUGCUUGAGUGUACCAGCAAAGGAAGCACCGGCUAACCCUGUGCCAGCAGCCGCGGUAAUACAGGGGGUGCUAGCGUUGUUCGGAAUUACUGGGCGUAAAGGGCGCGUAGGCGGUUUAACAAGUCAGGAGUGAAAUCCCGGAGCUUAACUUCGGAAUUGCUUUUGAAACUGUUAGACUAGAGUAUGUUAGAGGAAAUCGGAAUUCCUAGUGUAGAAGUGAAAUUCGUAGAUAUUAGGAAGAACACCGGUGGCGAAGGCGGAUUUCUGGGACAUAACUGACGCUG